UCUCUCGUGGCUUAGUUGGUUAGAGCAUUAGUGCGUAAAGCCAAAGGUCCCGGGUUCGAUACCCGGCGGGGGGU
Molecule: non-coding RNA, 74 nt
Organism: Agrilus planipennis (emerald ash borer)
Lineage: Eukaryota; Metazoa; Arthropoda; Insecta; Coleoptera; Buprestidae
Source: Rfam